This 748-nucleotide ribosomal RNA is filed under the name Mycolicibacterium sp. RNAcentral describes it as "bacterial SSU rRNA". It matches the Rfam family "Bacterial small subunit ribosomal RNA", at positions 59 to 825 of the family's 1533-position model. The record is from RNAcentral. Lineage: Bacteria; Bacillati; Actinomycetota; Actinomycetes; Mycobacteriales; Mycobacteriaceae.
CAGUCGACGGAAAGGCCCUUCGGGGUACUCGAGUGGCGAACGGGUGAGUAACACGUGGGUGAUCUGCCCUGCACUUUGGGAUAAGCCUGGGAAACUGGGUCUAAUACCGAAUAUGAUCAUGCUCUUCAUGGGGUGUGGUGGAAAGCUUUUGCGGUGUGGGAUGGGCCCGCGGCCUAUCAGCUUGUUGGUGGGGUAAUGGCCUACCAAGGCGACGACGGGUAGCCGGCCUGAGAGGGUGUCCGGCCACACUGGGACUGAGAUACGGCCCAGACUCCUACGGGAGGCAGCAGUGGGGAAUAUUGCACAAUGGGCGCAAGCCUGAUGCAGCGACGCCGCGUGAGGGAUGACGGCCUUCGGGUUGUAAACCUCUUUCAGCAGGGACGAAGCGCAAGUGACGGUACCUGCAGAAGAAGCACCGGCCAACUACGUGCCAGCAGCCGCGGUAAUACGUAGGGUGCGAGCGUUGUCCGGAAUUACUGGGCGUAAAGAGCUCGUAGGUGGUUUGUCGCGUUGUUCGUGAAAACUCACAGCUUAACUGUGGGCGUGCGGGCGAUACGGGCAGACUGGAGUACUGCAGGGGAGACUGGAAUUCCUGGUGUAGCGGUGGAAUGCGCAGAUAUCAGGAGGAACACCGGUGGCGAAGGCGGGUCUCUGGGCAGUAACUGACGCUGAGGAGCGAAAGCGUGGGGAGCGAACAGGAUUAGAUACCCUGGUAGUCCACGCCGUAAACGGUGGGUACUAGGUGUGG